UACGUAGGGGGCAAGCGUUGUCCGGAAUUAUUGGGCGUAAAGAGCUUGUAGGCGGUUUGUCGCGUCUGCUGUGAAAUUUCGGGGCUCAACCCCGAACUUGCAGUGGGUACGGGCAGACUAGAGUGUGGUAGGGGAGACUGGAAUUCCUGGUGUAGCGGUGAAAUGCGCAGAUAUCAGGAGGAACACCGAUGGCGAAGGCAGGUCUCUGGGCCACUACUGACGCUGAGAAGCGAAAGCAUGGGGAGCGAACAGG
This 253-nucleotide ribosomal RNA is filed under the name uncultured bacterium. RNAcentral's name for it is "partial 16S ribosomal RNA". It matches the Rfam family "Bacterial small subunit ribosomal RNA", at positions 524 to 776 of the family's 1533-position model. The record is from RNAcentral.